RNAcentral lists this ribosomal RNA (595 nucleotides) under uncultured bacterium. Its description in RNAcentral is "bacterial SSU rRNA". It matches the Rfam family "Bacterial small subunit ribosomal RNA", at positions 338 to 1413 of the family's 1533-position model. The record is from RNAcentral.
CCUACGGGAGGCAGCAGUGGGGAAUCUUGCACAAUGGAGGAAACUCUGAUGCAGCGAUGCCGCGUGAGUGAAGAAGGCCUUUGGGUUGUAAAGCUCUUUUGUAGGGGAAGAUAAUGACUGUACCCUAAGAAUAAGGUCCGGCUAACUUCGUGCCAGCAGCCGCGGUAAUACGAAGGGACCUAGCGUAGUUCGGAAUUACUGGGCGUAAAGCGCGCGUAGGCCGUUGAGUUAGUUAAUUGUGAAAUCCCAAAGCUUAACUUUGGAACUGCAAUUAAAACUGCUCGACUAGAGUUUGAUAGAGGAAAGCGGAAUACAUAGUGUAGAGGUGAAAUUCGUAGAUAUUAUGUAGAACACCAGUUGCGAAGGCGGCUUUCUGGAUCAACACUGACGCUGAGGCGCGAAAGUAUGGGUAGCAAAGAGGAUUAGAUACCCUCGUAGUCCAUACCAUAAACGAUGGUUGCUAGAUGUUGGAAAUUUAUUUUCAGUAUCGCAGCUAACGCAUUAAGCAAUCCGCCUGGGGAGUACGACCGCAAGGUUAAAACCUCAAAAGAGUAAUUCGGACGUGAGAGCGUCGACCGACGCCACGAGGAGGUAG